UGGUCAAGUUAUUAAGGGUGCAGGGCGGAUGCCUUGGCACUAGGAGCCGAUGAAGGACGCGAUAAGCUGCGAUAAGCUUCGGGGAGUUGCACGUAAACUUUGAUCCGAAGAUUUCCGAAUGAGGAAACUCACUUAGAGUAAUGUCUAAGUAUCAUUAAGUGAAUACAUAGCUUAAUGAGGGGAACUC
Molecule: ribosomal RNA, 187 nt
Filed under: Clostridioides sp. ES-S-0001-02
Lineage: Bacteria; Bacillati; Bacillota; Clostridia; Peptostreptococcales; Peptostreptococcaceae
Also listed under: 3 other names
Description: partial 23S ribosomal RNA
Rfam family: Bacterial large subunit ribosomal RNA
Source: RNAcentral